Empidonax traillii (willow flycatcher) is the source of this 465-nucleotide long non-coding RNA. RefSeq lists it as uncharacterized. The record is from RefSeq and is a predicted model, not a curated record. NCBI's taxonomy places the organism in Eukaryota, Metazoa, Chordata, Aves, Passeriformes, Tyrannidae. The transcript has 3 exons.
AAUGAUGGAAUCUGAUGGCUCUGAGAACUCCAGACAACUUCCUGGCAGAGAACAUGUUCAGCUAAAAGGCAAGAACAGAACACAAGGAAGUAAAGAAACAAAUUAUUUUGGAAACAUUAACUAAAGCCCGCAUCCGAGGACAGCACUCGGAUAUCCCUUGGACAGAUGGCAACACUGAGCACUGCUCAAGGUACAAGGACAAAGUUAACAGCCCUGACUCGUAGGGUUUCUGCUCUUCUAUCCUGGUGUGAAGGACAGCUGCAUAAGGGGGCUUGUAAAGAGCCCAGAAAGACCUGAGCAUGCAAAGUCUUUCCCAGUUAUUUCCAAGGCCAGGUGAGCCGAGCCUGUGCCCAGUACUGUGUGUAACUGUGAUCAUAAGGAAGAAGCGCAUCCUGCUCGCUCGCUGUGCGGUGCCACCCUGCCCGUCCCUGGGCCCUGCGGAGGUGUGGGGCGCGACUCUCUUUU